GUAUGGAUUUUACCUUGGAGCAAAUCAUUUCCCCUGUUUCCUGAGCCUGAAUUUGAUCCUGAUCCUGGCCUAGCCCAUGGACUUUCCAGGCUGGUGGGAAGGAAGGGCCUUAGAGGAUCAAAAGGGGUUAUAUGGCAGCUGCCACUUCAUCCUGCACUCAGGAGGAAGAUACAUGAAAGCCACUUCUUACUCCUCCUAAACGCUCUAUCCUACUCUAAGAGGGCAGUGAUGCCUGGCUCUGCAGGCAUUUUGAGAUCACAAGCUGUGCACUCACAGAGAAGAGCAGCCUGCAAGGAAGCAGAGUCUCGUAAGCUUCCGUCUCACUACACAGCUGAUGUACCCUGGAACUCCUCUUCAUCCUGCCUCCACCUCCUGAGUGCUGGGAUUACAG
Non-coding RNA from Cricetulus griseus (Chinese hamster), 391 nucleotides. NCBI's taxonomy places the organism in Eukaryota, Metazoa, Chordata, Mammalia, Rodentia, Cricetidae. The record is from RefSeq and is a predicted model, not a curated record.